GCCUCGGCGGUGGAUGGUCCACAUCUGCGUCUCAUACAAAAUCCAUAUCUGUGGGCAAAAAAACCAGCAGAAAUCGUCUGUUCGAAUCAGGCCUGAGGCA
This is a non-coding RNA of Mycena polygramma, 100 nucleotides long. The record is from the annotation of a GenBank genome assembly. Lineage: Eukaryota; Fungi; Basidiomycota; Agaricomycetes; Agaricales; Mycenaceae.